Molecule: ribosomal RNA, 440 nt
Filed under: uncultured bacterium
Lineage: Bacteria
Description: partial 16S ribosomal RNA
Rfam family: Bacterial small subunit ribosomal RNA
Source: RNAcentral
CCUACGGGAGACAGCAGUGGGGAAUAUUGCACAAUGGGGGAAACCCUGAUGCAGCGACGCCGCGUGAGUGAAGAAGUAUCUCGGUACGUAAAGCUCUAUCAGCAGGGAAGAAAAUGACGGUACCUGACUAAGAAGCCCCGGCUAACUACGUGCCAGCAGCCGCGGUAAUACGUAGGGGGCAAGCGUUAUCCGGAUUUACUGGGUGUAAAGGGAGCGUAGACGGCAGCACAAGUCUGGAGUGAAAUCCCGGGGCUUAACCCCGGAACUGCUUCGGAAACGGGGCGGCUGGAGUGCAGGGGGGGUAAGCGGAAUUCCUAGGGUAGCGGUGAAAUGCGUAGAUAUUAGGAGGAACACCGGUGGCGAAGGCGGCUUACGGGACUGUAACUGACGUUGAGGCUCGAAGGCGUGGGGAGCAAACAGGAUUAGAUACCCGAGUAGUC